Molecule: unclassified non-coding RNA, 271 nt
Filed under: uncultured fungus
Lineage: Eukaryota; Fungi
Description: sequence contains ITS1
Source: RNAcentral
GUAUAGGUUUAUAGGCACAAAGGCCAUUGAUUACAUUCUACGACAUACAUUGGGGUAUAUGAAGAAACAUAGGCCUGGAAAUGUAAGGAGAGACCGUGAAGUCAAAGCCUCAAUCCCGAAUGGCUAGCAUUCAGAGAGAGAUCCAGGUCUACAAAAGGUGCACAGGUGGAGAUAUAAAGACGACAAGUGUGCACAUGCUCUCUAUGAGAGCCAGCAGCAACUCAUCAGGUUUAAUUCAAUAAUGAUCCUUCCGCAGGUUCACCUACGGAAA